RNAcentral lists this ribosomal RNA (433 nucleotides) under uncultured bacterium. Its description in RNAcentral is "partial 16S ribosomal RNA". It matches the Rfam family "Bacterial small subunit ribosomal RNA", at positions 29 to 507 of the family's 1533-position model. The record is from RNAcentral.
AACGAACGCUGGCGGCAUGCCUAACACAUGCAAGUCGAACGAGACCUUCGGGUCUAGUGGCGCACGGGUGCGUAACGCGUGGGAACCUGCCCUUAGGUUCGGAAUAACUCCCCGAAAGGGGUGCUAAUACCGGAUAAUGUCUUCGGACCAAAGAUUUAUCGCCUUUGGAUGGGCCCGCGUUGGAUUAGCUAGUUGGUAGGGUAAAAGCCUACCAAGGCGACGAUCCAUAGCUGGUCUGAGAGGAUGAUCAGCCACACUGGGACUGAGACACGGCCCAGACUCCUACGGGAGGCAGCAGUGGGGAAUAUUGGACAAUGGGCGAAAGGCUGAUCCAGCAAUGCCGCGUGAGUGAUGAAGGCCUUAGGGUUGUAAAGCUCUUUUACCCGGGAUGAUAAUGACAGUACCGGGAGAAUAAGCGCCGGCUAACUCCGUG